Non-coding RNA from Cinara cedri, 209 nucleotides. NCBI's taxonomy places the organism in Eukaryota, Metazoa, Arthropoda, Insecta, Hemiptera, Aphididae. The record is from the annotation of a GenBank genome assembly.
UGAGCCAACAACGGUCAACAUAGAAACGGAGAAUCGCUAGGAGACACGUUUAAAAUGUUUAUGAUUUAGUUUUUCAUUCAAUACUGUGCACUGGGAAAUCCGUGUGGUACAACUGCAUAAUAUAGUAACUAAAAUAUUAUAAUCUCCAGCAGCCGGUCGAGACUGUGGUACGAAUUUCGUGAAUACAACCGCAAUCACUGUCAUAAUCU